AAUGCGCCUUUCAGACUCCACAUGUAAGUUCCGUUGUUGCAGGUUUUUUAUUUACUAAUUGCUUUUGCCAGGGAGGAAAAAAGUUACUGUAUUUUCUUCAUUUGAAUGGAGUUUGGUGUUUCAUUUAACUGGUUAAUUGGUUCUUAUGGAAUCUAUUAGCCAAGCAACAAGGCAGGCUAAAGCUUUGGAGUCCCCUUUCCCCCUGCUAUCUCAACUCUUUUUCUUGCUGAUGCUUCAGCAGUUAUUUUUUUAAUGCAUUAGGCAUUUUUUUAUUUUUAUUUUCUUCUGGGAUGUACCAAAAAUUAUAAUUAACUUGCUAAUUUUUUUAAUUUCCUUUGGGCAGCUGAACAGAAAUUUUAUGAAUCAAACCUAAAUGGUCCCACAAUUCUAAUUUUCCUAAGGAAAUAACAUAAACCUGCAAAAGCCUCCAUUCGUUUCUGUUAAUUUCCUAAGGAGCAUCAUUAAUUAUAUUUUUAUACUUCCUGCGAAUCAUUAUUGGCUAUUAAUUCUUCCAAAAAAGUCAAUAAAAACAGAUUCCCAUCUUUGAAAUUAAUGCAAGCACAUCAGUUUCUCUAUCAUGUUUUCGCUACUGACUUUGUCUGCUACUGUCAGAGCGAUAAUGCCAUAAAUGGAGUUAAUCUGAUCAGUCAGAAGCUCUCCAUAUAGUUUCAUCAUCAUUUAUCGAGUCAUUAUAAAGUGUAUUCAGCAACAUAUACUGGUGGAUGAAACCUUCCUACUAACUAUUUCGUAUGUUUUUGCAAGAUACCAUUUGGUGGUCCCAUAAUACGGCCAAGAAGUGCCACAUUGCAUGAACAUUCUCAACCUGUACAUUAAUGGUUAUUCGCUGUUAUAGAUGGUGAAGUAAUCAUUCCAUUAAUGUCUUUCGAAAUCCCUGUUUCCAAGUGCAAGUGGCUAGGAAAGGGUCAUGCAAAUCAUUUUCUUCAUGUUUGUGCAUUUGUUUUUUUGGGAUAAAUUCAUAUAAUCUUGUUUAAUUUAUAAUAUUUUGCUCCUUGUCUUUGGGUGUUAAAUCAUUAUUAGGUUUCAACUUACACUUACAGAUGCAGGAUAAUAUACUAUAUUUGACAUUUUCUUUACCUUAUAUAUGGUCUGUAAUUCUCUCACUUGACUGUGUUAAUUCUGUUUUGAUUUUGUUGCUACUGUCAUAUAUGAAAUGCUUUAAUAUUCUUAUUUCAGGAAACCAUUGUUUAAAUGCUGGUUAUAUUAGGGGUUGUGGGGAGUUCCAUACUUCAUAGUUCAGCUAAAUCAUUCCUUAAGUUGCU
Molecule: unclassified non-coding RNA, 1280 nt
Filed under: Hevea brasiliensis (rubber tree)
Lineage: Eukaryota; Viridiplantae; Streptophyta; Magnoliopsida; Malpighiales; Euphorbiaceae
Source: RNAcentral